AUGAACGCUGGCGGCGUGCCUAAUACAUGCAAGUCGCGCGAACAGACGAGGAGCUUGCUCCUCUGACGUUAGCGGCGGACGGGUGAGUAACACGUGGAUAACCUACCUAUAAGACUGGGAUAACUUCGGGAAACCGGAGCUAAUACCGGAUAAUAUAUUGAACCGCAUGGUUCAAUAGUGAAAGACGGUUUUGCUGUCACUUAUAGAUGGAUCCGCGCCGCACUAGCUAGUUGGUAAGGUAACGGCUUACCAAGGCAAAGAUGCGUAGCCGACCUGAGAGGGUGAUCGGCCACACUGGAACUGAGACACGGUCCAGACUCCUACGGGAGGCAGCAGUAGGGAAUCUUCCGCAAUGGGCGAAAGCCUGACGGAGCAACGCCGCGUGAGUGAUGAAGGUCUUCGGAUCGUAAAACUCUGUUAUUAGGGAAGAACAAAUGUGUAAGUAACUAUGCACGUCUUGACGGUACCUAAUCAGAAAGCCACGGCUAACUACGUG
Molecule: ribosomal RNA, 496 nt
Filed under: uncultured bacterium
Lineage: Bacteria
Description: partial 16S ribosomal RNA
Rfam family: Bacterial small subunit ribosomal RNA
Source: RNAcentral